AUGGCUCAGGAUGAACGCUGGCGGCGUGCCUAACACAUGCAAGUCGAGCGGAGAUACAUGUCUAAGAGAUUCGGUCGAAUUAAUUGUAUCUUAGCGGCGGAUGGGUGAGGAACGCGUGGAGAACCUGCCCUUCGACAGGGGGAUAACAGCUGGAAACGGCUGUUAAUACCGCAUAUGCUCACAGGAUCGCAUGAUCCAGGGAGGAAAGCCGAGACGGUGAAGGAUGACUCCGCGUCGGAUUAGCCAGUUGGCGGGUAACGGCCCACCAAAGCGAUGAUCCGUAGCCGGCCUGAGAGGGCGACCGGCCACAUUGGGACUGAGACACGGCCCAAACUCCUACGGGAGGCAGCAGUGGGGGAUAUUGCACAAUGGGGGGAACCCUGAUGCAAGCGACGCCGCGUGAAGGAGGAAGUGCUUCGGCAUGUAAACUUCUAUCAGCAGGGAAGAAGAUGACGGUACCUGACUAAGAAGCCCCGGCUAACUACGUGCCAGCAGCGGC
This 499-nucleotide ribosomal RNA is filed under the name uncultured bacterium. Its description in RNAcentral is "bacterial SSU rRNA". It matches the Rfam family "Bacterial small subunit ribosomal RNA", at positions 19 to 518 of the family's 1533-position model. The record is from RNAcentral.